Molecule: long non-coding RNA, 1947 nt
Organism: Haliotis rubra (blacklip abalone)
Lineage: Eukaryota; Metazoa; Mollusca; Gastropoda; Lepetellida; Haliotidae
Exons: 3
Source: RefSeq, a predicted model, not a curated record
AAGUACAGAGCGAAGGGAGUUGAGCCGGCCGCGGAGCAACAUCAAUUAGAAUGUUUGUCUCCUGGACGACAAACAACAAAGCGGUAAACACAAGGAAUGAUCCGAGUCGUCUGCUCCCUACCAGCAGACGAUACAUAGUCGAGGCAGCGAGAGGUGUACCACGUUCGCCGUCAAGUUCUUAAGCAAGUCCUAGUUUGGAAAAAAUCUUCAUUCGUUCUUCAAGAUGGGUUGUAACGGCAGCAAAAGUACCCAGACGCAGGCGUCGACUGGACAGCAGCCCACGAGCGAUACGAAGCAGGAGCAGACGACACAGGAGCAGACGAACAACGCAUCUGGGGGCGAACAAACUGAACAAACUGCCCAACAAGAGAAUACCGAACAAGAGGCAUAAAAUUAUCGAUUAGUUUCUCCAACUGCUGAUGCCAUUACGAAGGAGUAAACGCAGCCUCCGGAAUGGACUCAGUAUGUUGUCAAUUAUCUGUGAUAUAUGACGGACUUCUCAGCAUUACUGGAAUCAAAGAGGACUCUUUUGCUAAAUGACGUCAUCUGUUCCAUUCCUCGCUCAAGACACCGUCCCAUCCAUUGCUCUAUCCCUCAACAUAAUCAAGCAAUAACUCUCUCCUUCAACUCCUGAUGUCAAAGCACAAAUUUGAAAAUUAAAUGCCAAGCCACCUUGGAGCAAUAUACACUGAGACCACCCCCACAGGCAGGGUCUACAAGAUGGGUGCAAUACAUAACGCUAGGCUGGUUCUUGCAAUAACGAACCACAGGCACCCGACUCCAUUAUAAUAUAUUUAUUCAUUUUCUAUAACAAACUCAUAUUUUCACUUUUAUAAGAAUAGAGUAAUUAGAAAAAAAUAUCUUUAACUAUCUUAUUCGAUAAUAUGCUACAUAUUUGUUUCAAUCUUGUUUAUCUCUAUAAUGGUGUACGUAUGAGGACUUGUAGAAAACUUAUAUAUUAUUAAGGAGUCAGAUGCACGUGUAACAAGUUGUCAACUCAGAAUAUAUCAAAGUUUUGUGACAUUCAAAAGUCUUUAUUUAGUUAAAAUAACUUUAGUUACUGUUGCUGUUAUUCAAAAGAUUCCGUUGUAGUGAGAUUCUGUAUAUCCGAAUGCGAUAUAUUCAGAGUUGACGGUAAUUUCCCUGACCUGAACCCGUUUAUCUGUUGGUCCUAGUUCGACCAGUGGCUCAACGCUGUUCCGGCUACUGGGAAUGUUAGAGUAGUUAGACGCGUAUUGUAAGUCAACAGGUAAUAUUGUGUUUAAUGAUUUAUGUUCCUCGUAUUAUCUGAAAUAUGAUAUAUCAAUAUCCGUCCAUAUAUGUGUGAUUCCCUCCGACAGCAUUGAACUAUAUUUCAGCCACAGAGCAUUCACGUUUACAAACAAAAAUAAUAAAUUGUAAUCGUCCAAAUUUCACUUGAAAUUGUUUGUACAUUGAACCAAGGAAGUCAUUAUUGCUUCAGGCACAUCUAACUAGUCCAAACGAAUGGAUCUCUAAUUUCGGACGAAUGUAUUCCACUUGUAAUACAACAGUAUUAGUACAUGCACUACAUUCGUUAUUCGACAACAUGUCCUCAUUAUAUUUUUGCAAUUUCAGUUAGAUUGCAUCUGUAUGGUUUCCUUGACAACGCGUAAUAUUUAAACUUCGUGUAUUGUCAACCCCUUAAGUAUUGUUGUUAAUCUUUUUAUUAAAAUACUUUUAUGAUAUAUAAUUGAGCAUACAAACAGCAUUAUUGUAAGACAAAACGUCUAAUGGCAAAUAUAGUUUCACGAUGAAGGUUUAUACUGCGUCUUUAUAGAUAUUGCCAGAAUGCUGUGACAAACUAUUACUUUCGUAUACUUCAAUAUAUUCCUGUGAAACAUGUCAAUACAAGCUACGUGAUGGCAAGGACAUUUCGUUCAAUUUGUAUAUUAUCUUUUUAACUCCAAAAUAAAAUAUGGCGAUCUA